RNAcentral lists this ribosomal RNA (497 nucleotides) under uncultured bacterium. RNAcentral's name for it is "partial 16S ribosomal RNA". It matches the Rfam family "Bacterial small subunit ribosomal RNA", at positions 28 to 507 of the family's 1533-position model. The record is from RNAcentral.
GAUGAACGCUGGCGGCGUGCCUAAUACAUGCAAGUCGAGCGAACGGACGAGAAGCUUGCUUCUCUGAUGUUAGCGGCGGACGGGUGAGUAACACGUGGAUAACCUACCUAUAAGACUGGGAUAACUUCGGGAAACCGGAGCUAAUACCGGAUAAUAUUUUGAACCGCAUGGUUCAAAAGUGAAAGACGAUCUUGCUGUCACUUAUAGAUGGAUCCGCGCUGCAUUAGCUAGUUGGUAAGGUAACGGCUUACCAAGGCAACGAUGCAUAGCCGACCUGAGAGGGUGAUCGGCCACACUGGAACUGAGACACGGCCCAGACUCCUACGGGAGGCAGCAGUAGGGAAUCUUCCGCAAUGGGCGAAAGCCUGACGGAGCAACGCCGCGUGAGUGAUGAAGGUCUUCGGAUCGUAAAACUCUGUUAUUAGGGAAGAACAUAUGUGUAAGUAACUGUGCACAUCUUGACGGUACCUAAUCAGAAAGCCACGGCUAACUACGUG